This 586-nucleotide ribosomal RNA is filed under the name Pseudomonas sp. StFRB166. RNAcentral describes it as "bacterial SSU rRNA". It matches the Rfam family "Bacterial small subunit ribosomal RNA", at positions 102 to 683 of the family's 1533-position model. The record is from RNAcentral. Lineage: Bacteria; Pseudomonadati; Pseudomonadota; Gammaproteobacteria; Pseudomonadales; Pseudomonadaceae.
ACGGGUGAGUAAUGCCUAGGAAUCUGCCUGGUAGUGGGGGACAACGUUUCGAAAGGAACGCUAAUACCGCAUACGUCCUACGGGAGAAAGCAGGGGACCUUCGGGCCUUGCGCUAUCAGAUGAGCCUAGGUCGGAUUAGCUAGUUGGUGGGGUAAUGGCUCACCAAGGCGACGAUCCGUAACUGGUCUGAGAGGAUGAUCAGUCACACUGGAACUGAGACACGGUCCAGACUCCUACGGGAGGCAGCAGUGGGGAAUAUUGGACAAUGGGCGAAAGCCUGAUCCAGCCAUGCCGCGUGUGUGAAGAAGGUCUUCGGAUUGUAAAGCACUUUAAGUUGGGAGGAAGGGCAGUAAGCGAAUACCUUGCUGUUUUGACGUUACCGACAGAAUAAGCACCGGCUAACUCUGUGCCAGCAGCCGCGGUAAUACAGAGGGUGCAAGCGUUAAUCGGAAUUACUGGGCGUAAAGCGCGCGUAGGUGGUUUGUUAAGUUGGAUGUGAAAGCCCCGGGCUCAACCUGGGAACUGCAUCCAAAACUGGCAAGCUAGAGUACGGUAGAGGGUGGUGGAAUUUCCCUGUGUAGCGGUG